Molecule: ribosomal RNA, 517 nt
Filed under: Clostridioides difficile
Lineage: Bacteria; Bacillati; Bacillota; Clostridia; Peptostreptococcales; Peptostreptococcaceae
Description: partial 23S ribosomal RNA
Rfam family: Bacterial large subunit ribosomal RNA
Source: RNAcentral
CCCAAACCAAUAAAGUUUUCUUUAUUGGGGUUGCGGACAUAUCAUAACGAAGAGGUAUCGUAAUUGAAGAGGUUUGGAAAGACCCACCACAGAAGGUAAUAGUCCUGUAUGUUAAACGAGAAGACUUCAGAUAUGAUCCAGAGUACCACGGGACACGUGAAACCCUGUGGGAAGCAGGAGGGACCACCCUCCAAGGCUAAAUACUACCUAGUGACCGAUAGCGUAUAGUACCGUGAGGGAAAGGUGAAAAGAACCCCGGGAGGGGAGUGAAAUAGAACCUGAAACCCUGCACUUACAAGCUGUGGAAGCACAUUUCUUGUGUGACCGCGUACUUUUUGUAGAACGGGCCAACGAGUUACGUUAAGUAGCAAGGUUAAGCACUUAAGGUGUGGAGCCGUAGCGAAAGCGAGUUUUAACUGAGCGUUCAGUUACUUGACGUAGACCCGAAACCGGGCGACCUACCCAUGAGCAGGAUGAAGCGAAAGUAAAAUUUCGUGGAGGUCCGAACCCACGAGCG